CCGUGUGCGGCUGAUGACAGCACUGCUGCUGAGAGUUUGUGAUUGCUCAGGCUCAAAGUAAACGCUCUGACGCACCAUGU
Molecule: small nucleolar RNA, 80 nt
Organism: Hippopotamus amphibius kiboko
Lineage: Eukaryota; Metazoa; Chordata; Mammalia; Artiodactyla; Hippopotamidae
Product: small nucleolar RNA U105B
Exons: 1
Source: RefSeq, a predicted model, not a curated record